GGGGAUGUAGCUCAAACGGUAGAGCGCCGCUUUGCAUGCGAGAGGUACGGGGUUCGGUACCCCGCAUCUCCA
This is a non-coding RNA of Gossypium raimondii (Peruvian cotton), 72 nucleotides long. NCBI's taxonomy places the organism in Eukaryota, Viridiplantae, Streptophyta, Magnoliopsida, Malvales, Malvaceae. The record is from Rfam.